AGGAGCAUGUGGUUUAAUUUCGAUGAUACGCGAGGAACUUACCUGGGCUCGAACGUAAGAUGACUGUAGGUGAAAGCUUACAUCUCUUCGGAGCAUUUUACGAGGUGCUGCAUGGUUGUCGUCAGCUCGUGCCGUGAGGUGUCGGGUUAAGUCCCAUAACGAGCGCAACCCCUACCUUUAGUUGCCAUCAGGUUAAGCUGGGGACUCUAAAGGAACUGCCUACGCAAGUAGUGAGGAAGGCGGGGAUGACGUCAAAUCAGCACGGCCCUUACGUCCAGGGCUACACACGUGCUACAAUGGCCGAUACAGAGGGCAGCUACCUGGUGACAGGAUGCAAAUCUCCAAAGUCGGUCUCAGUUCGGAUCGGAGUCUGCAACCCGACUCCGUGAAGUUGGAUUCGCUAGUAAUCGCGCAUCAGCCAUGGCGCGGUGAAUACGUUCCCGGGCCUU
This 449-nucleotide ribosomal RNA is filed under the name uncultured Sphingobacteriales bacterium. RNAcentral's name for it is "bacterial SSU rRNA". It matches the Rfam family "Bacterial small subunit ribosomal RNA", at positions 933 to 1382 of the family's 1533-position model. Lineage: Bacteria; Pseudomonadati; Bacteroidota; Sphingobacteriia; Sphingobacteriales. The record is from RNAcentral.